AUUGAACGCUGGCGGCAUGCCUUACACAUGCAAGUCGAACGGUAACGGGCCUUCGGGUGCCGACGAGUGGCGAACGGGUGAGUAAUACAUCGGAACGUGCCCGAUCGUGGGGGAUAACGAGGCGAAAGCUUUGCUAAUACCGCAUACGAUCUACGGAUGACAGCAGGGGACCGCAAGGCCUUGCGCGGACGGAGCGGCCGAUGGCAGAUUAGGUAGUUGGUGGGAUAAAAGCUUACCAAGCCGACGAUCUGUAGCUGGUCUGAGAGGAUGAUCAGCCACACUGGGACUGAGACACGGCCCAGACUCCUACGGGAGGCAGCAGUGGGGAAUUUUGGACAAUGGGCGCAAGCCUGAUCCAGCCAUGCCGCGUGCAGGAUGAAGGCCUUCGGGUUGUAAAAUGCUUUUGUACGGAACGAAAAGCCUUCUUUUAAUACAGGAGGGUCAUGACGGUACCGUAAGAAUAAGCACCGGCUAACUACGUG
RNAcentral lists this ribosomal RNA (482 nucleotides) under uncultured bacterium. Its description in RNAcentral is "partial 16S ribosomal RNA". It matches the Rfam family "Bacterial small subunit ribosomal RNA", at positions 30 to 507 of the family's 1533-position model. The record is from RNAcentral.